Molecule: ribosomal RNA, 1194 nt
Filed under: Clostridioides difficile
Lineage: Bacteria; Bacillati; Bacillota; Clostridia; Peptostreptococcales; Peptostreptococcaceae
Description: partial 23S ribosomal RNA
Rfam family: Bacterial large subunit ribosomal RNA
Source: RNAcentral
UUUAACUGAGCGUUCAGUUACUUGACGUAGACCCGAAACCGGGCGACCUACCCAUGAGCAGGAUGAAGCGAAAGUAAAAUUUCGUGGAGGUCCGAACCCACGAGCGUUGAAAAGCUCGGGGAUGACUUGUGGGUAGCGGUGAAAUUCCAAUCGAGCCCGGAGAUAGCUGGUUCUCCCCGAAAUAGCUUUAGGGCUAGCCUCAAGGUGAGAGAUACGGAGGUAGAGCACUGAAUGUCCUAGGGGGUAUUGCACCUACCGAAGACUAUCAAACUCCGAAUGCCGUCAUCUUAUACUUGGGAGUCAGACUGUGGGUGAUAAGAUUCAUAGUCGAAAGGGCAACAGCCCAGAUCGUCAGCUAAGGUCCCUAAAUGUAAGUUAAGUGGUAAAGGAUGUGGGAUUGCACAGACAACCAGGAUGUUGGCUUAGAAGCAGCCACUCAUUCAAAGAGUGCGUAAUAGCUCACUGGUCGAGUGAUCCUGCGCCGAAGAUUUCCGGGGCUAAAACUUACUACCGAAGCUACGGCAUCAGUAAUGAUGGGUAGGGGAGCUUCCCAUACGGGUUGAAGCAUGACCGUAAGGACAUGUGGACAGUAUGGGAGUGAGAAUGUUGGCAUGAGUAGCGAGAUGUGGGUGAGAAUCCCACAGGCCGUAAACCCAAGGUUUCCAGGGGAAGGUUCGUCCGCCCUGGGUUAGUCGGGACCUAAGCUGAGGCCGAAAGGCGUAGGUGAUGGACAACAGGUUGAUAUUCCUGUACUACCGAUAACCGUUUGAGAGAUGGGAUGACACAGUAGGAUAAGCUAAGCACACUGUUGGUUAUGUGUGCCCAAGCAUUGAGGCAGUCAAAGUAGGCAAAUCCGCUUUGAUAAUGCUGGGAUGUGAUGGGGAGCGAAAUUUAGUAGCGAAGUAGCUGAUUUCACACUGUCAAGAAAAGUCUCUAUCGAGGUUAAAGGUACCCGUACCGCAAACCGACACAGGUGGGUGAGGAGAGUAUCCUAAGGCUAGCGAGAGAACUGUUGUUAAGGAACUCGGCAAAAUGACCCCGUAACUUAGGGAUAAGGGGUGCCACCAUCAGGUGGCCGCAGAGAAUAGGCCCAAGCGACUGUUUACCAAAAACAUAGGUUUCUGCUAAGUCGCAAGACGAUGUAUAGGAGCUGACGCCUGCCCGGUGCUGGAAGGUUAAGGGGAUCUGUUAGAG